Molecule: ribosomal RNA, 194 nt
Filed under: uncultured Glomeromycotina
Lineage: Eukaryota; Fungi; Glomeromycota
Description: partial small subunit ribosomal RNA
Rfam family: Eukaryotic small subunit ribosomal RNA
Source: RNAcentral
UAUGUAUUCAAUUNGUCAGAGGUGAAANCCCUUGGAUUUAUUGAAGACUAACUACUGCGAAAGCAUUUGCCAAGGAUGUUUUCAUUAAUCAAGAACGAAAGUUAGGGGAUCGAAGACGAUCAGAUACCGUCGUAGUCUUAACCCAUAAACUAUGCCGACUAGGGAUCGGAUGAUGUUAAUUUUUUAAUGACUCA